Amborella trichopoda is the source of this 267-nucleotide long non-coding RNA. RefSeq lists it as uncharacterized. The record is from RefSeq and is a predicted model, not a curated record. Lineage: Eukaryota; Viridiplantae; Streptophyta; Magnoliopsida; Amborellales; Amborellaceae.
CUCUCUCUCUCUCUCUCUCUCUCUCUCUCUCUCUCAAAUCGACCUAUCUGUGCUGCUCUCUCUCAAGCUCAAGCUCAAACCAGAUUUCAAUAGGGAUGGAGUAUUUCCAGAAUGUGGGUUCAACAGUUGAUACAUUUCAUGGUGCUGUUUGUGUAUGAAUGAUCUAUGCUUCAUACUUUGGGUUGUGUAUGCAUGCGCACGGAUAUAUGUUCCAUGUCUAUAAAUUAAACUUAUUUCUUUUGGUAAAAUACACCAAAUUAAACUUUA